AUGCCGUGCGCGCGGGCCGAGGACGCGCUCCCCUCCGCCGCCGCCGCCGCCGACAUGGUCUCCGCCGCCCUGAUCCAGAAGGCGGCCGGCGCCGGCGGACGGAGGCCCGCCGAGCCAGGCCGCGCGCUGCAGCGCACGCCGCACGUGUCCGCGGGGGACGUCGACGCGCCGGCGCCGGCGCCGGCGGCCAGCUGCUCCGGGGAUGAUGGCAAGGGCAGCCGCAGCGGGAGGAGAGAGGAGAGCCGCCGGGGCAGGACGUGGAGCUACCGGUCGGAGCUCGAGCAGGAAGUCAAGAAACUGCAGAGGCAGCUCGAGAAAGAGAUCGAGUUGCACGUGGCGUUGGCGGACGCCGUCACGCAGAACGCGCCGCCGCCUGCAUUGAAUUCUUCUGCCAAGAUCCCACCUGAGACACAGGAGCUACUAGUGAACAUUGCCUCCCUGGAGGGUGCCGUUUCGAACCUCGAAAAGGAGUUAAAUGAUCUGUAUUACCAGCUUUGUCAUGAGAGGAAUGAACGGCUACUUGCCGAAAAUAACCCAGGAGGCUUGCCAUCUGCGUCCUCAGAUGACCGCUCGCUGUCAACUUGCACGUGUACAUGGGAAGAACACAUAUCAUCGUUGAGGGAUUUGAAGUUUGGAGGAUCCGAGUCAAUGAGAUCAAUGCAACAAGAUUUACUCACAGAACUUGAAUAUGACCAGGAUCUUGGAGAAGAAUCCGAAGAUAGACAAAUGGUUUCCCUAAAUAGGCUGCUUGAGAAACACCAAGAUAUCUCUUUAAAUGGACUGUUGGAAAAGCACCGGGAUGAAGAGAUGCAAGGAUCGUGCUCGGUGGAAAAUCAAGGCAAAGAAGAUGAGAAGAUCGAUGAUUUAUCAUUUGAACAGUCCAUUCAAAAGUUAACUAGCAUGAAAGCAGGAAAUCUUUGGAACUAUCCAAAUCAGCUAUCAGAGGAGAUGGUGCGCUGCAUGAGAAACAUUUUCCUCCGUUUAUCUGAAUCCUCCAAGAUAUCUGGGAAGGCAUCUUCUGAUUGUUCAUCUUCCUCAGCGGAGCGUCUAUCUGGUUCUACACUGGCAUCCUUCUCAGAUACAUCCAUAAUACCCUCGAUGCUACGGAGUUCUUCGGUUGACUCCUAUCACAAUGAUGAGAUGAUGAAUAAAGCAAGAAACUUUGACCCGUAUAAAGUUAGUGGAAAGGGAACCCGUAGAGACAUCGGAAACUACUGUUCAGCAGCUGAAGUAUCUUGGAUGUCGGUUGGAAAGGAGCAACUUGAAUAUGCAUCUGAAGCUCUAAAAAAGUUCAGAUUUCUUGUGGAGCAGCUAUCAAAAGUUAACCCUAAUUGUUUGAACUCUGAUGAGCGGCUAGCCUUUUGGAUUAACUUGUAUAAUGCGCUGAUAAUGCAUUCAUACCUAGCAUACGGAGUUCCCCGGAAUGACAUCAAGCUUUUCUCUCUAAUGCAAAAGGCCUGUUACACAGUUGGUGGGCAGUCGUUCAGUGCAGCUGAAAUAGAGUAUGUGAUACUAAAGAUGAAGACUCCAGUGCACCGGCCCCAACUUUCUUUGAUGUUGGCUCUUCAGAAGUUCAAAAUUUCUGAGGGGCACAAGAAGUAUUCGAUCGAUCAAGCUGAGCCCCUUCUGCUGUUUGGUCUCAGUUGUGGAAUGUUGUCUUCACCAGCUGUAAGAAUCUUCACUGCAGCAAACGUCAGGAACGAGCUUCUGGAGUCAUUGAGAGACUACAUCCAAGCUUCCGUCGGCAUAAGUGACCGAGGGAAACUACUGAUCCCAAAGCUACUGCAGAGUUACGCCAAGGGGGCCGUCGAAGACUCCCUGUUCACGGACUGGAUCUGCCAUCACCUCUCACCUGAACAAGUAGCAGCCAUCCGAGAGUAUUCCUCUCAGAGGAGGCAGCGGCUUCUCGGGGCACGCAGUUUCACCGUGGUCGCGUUCGACUCGAAAUUCCGGUACCUGUUCUUGCCUGACAGCAGUGGCUCCCAGAAGCCACAACACAGAACAGGCUCCCUAGGCUGA
This 2019-nucleotide ribosomal RNA is filed under the name Triticum aestivum (bread wheat). RNAcentral describes it as "partial small subunit ribosomal RNA". Lineage: Eukaryota; Viridiplantae; Streptophyta; Magnoliopsida; Poales; Poaceae. The record is from RNAcentral.